This 246-nucleotide ribosomal RNA is filed under the name uncultured Fusobacterium sp. RNAcentral describes it as "partial 16S ribosomal RNA". It matches the Rfam family "Bacterial small subunit ribosomal RNA", at positions 28 to 281 of the family's 1533-position model. Lineage: Bacteria; Fusobacteriati; Fusobacteriota; Fusobacteriia; Fusobacteriales; Fusobacteriaceae. The record is from RNAcentral.
GAUGAACGCUGACAGAAUGCUUAACACAUGCAAGUCAACUUGAAUUUGGGUUUUUAACUUAGAUUUGGGUGGCGGACGGGUGAGUAACGCGUAAAGAACUUGCCUCACAGCUAGGGACAACAUUUAGAAAUGAAUGCUAAUACCUGAUAUUAUGAUUUUAAGGCAUCUUAGAAUUAUGAAAACUAUGAACUCUGUGAGAGCUUAUGCGCCCCAUUAGCCAGUUGAAAAAAGAAAGAGGUCCAAAAG